This 253-nucleotide ribosomal RNA is filed under the name uncultured bacterium. RNAcentral describes it as "partial 16S ribosomal RNA". It matches the Rfam family "Bacterial small subunit ribosomal RNA", at positions 524 to 776 of the family's 1533-position model. The record is from RNAcentral.
UACGUAGGUGGCAAGCGUUGUCCGGAAUUAUUGGGCGUAAAGCGCGCGCAGGCGGUCCUUUAAGUCUGAUGUGAAAGCCCACGGCUCAACCGUGGAGGGUCAUUGGAAACUGGGGGACUUGAGUGCAGAAGAGGAAAGUGGAAUUCCACGUGUAGCGGUGAAAUGCGUAGAGAUGUGGAGGAACACCAGUGGCGAAGGCGGCUCACUGGUCCGGUACUGACGCUGAGGUGCGAAAGCGUGGGGAGCAAACAGG